This 770-nucleotide ribosomal RNA is filed under the name uncultured bacterium. RNAcentral describes it as "bacterial SSU rRNA". It matches the Rfam family "Bacterial small subunit ribosomal RNA", at positions 8 to 796 of the family's 1533-position model. The record is from RNAcentral.
AGAGUUUGAUCCUGGCUCAGGACGAACGCUGGCGGCGUGCUUAACACAUGCAAGUCGAGCGGAAAGGCCCUUCGGGGUACUCGAGCGGCGAACGGGUGAGUAACACGUGAGUAAUCUGCCCCUAGCUCUGGGAUAGCUCCGGGAAACCGGGAUUAAUACCGGAUACGACCACUACAGACAUCUGUUCUGGUGGAAAGAAUUUCGGCUAGGGAUGAGCUCGCGGCCUAUCAGCUUGUUGGUGGGGUAACGGCCUACCAAGGCGACGACGGGUAGCCGGCCUGAGAGGGCGACCGGCCACACUGGGACUGAGACACGGCCCAGACUCCUACGGGAGGCAGCAGUGGGGAAUAUUGCGCAAUGGGCGAAAGCCUGACGCAGCGACGCCGCGUGGGGGAUGAAGGCCUUCGGGUUGUAAACCCCUUUCAGCAGGGACGAAGCGAAAGUGACGGUACCUGCAGAAGAAGCGCCGGCUAACUACGUGCCAGCAGCCGCGGUAACACGUAGGGCGCAAGCGUUGUCCGGAAUUAUUGGGCGUAAAGAGCUCGUAGGCGGUCUGUUGCGUCCGCUGUGAAAACUCGGGGCUUAACCCCGAGCCUGCAGUGGAUACGGGCAGACUAGAGGUAGGUAGGGGAGAAUGGAAUUCCCGGUGUAGCGGUGAAAUGCGCAGAUAUCGGGAGGAACACCGGUGGCGAAGGCGGUUCUCUGGGCCUUACCUGACGCUGAGGAGCGAAAGCGUGGGGAGCGAACAGGAUUAGAUACCCUAGUAGUCC